UCGAGUUAGGGUCCUUUGGGGCCCAACCUCCAACCCUGUGUCUACCUUACCACGUUGCUUCGGCGGGCCCGUCGGGAAACUGACCGCUGGAGGGUGUGUACCCUCUGGCCCGUGCCCGUCGAUGGCCAAACUCUUUAAAUUCUUGAUGAAAUGUGUCGUCUAAGUACUAAAGCAAAAAUAAGCAA
RNAcentral lists this unclassified non-coding RNA (185 nucleotides) under uncultured fungus. RNAcentral describes it as "sequence contains ITS1, 5.8S rRNA gene". Lineage: Eukaryota; Fungi. The record is from RNAcentral. RNAcentral also lists the same sequence under 1 other name.